ACUUCCUAUCAGUGUAAAUGGGUGUGAAUCUAGUGAUUUCACAUGAAUAUUCAAUUGUGACUAGAUCCACACUCAUUAAUGUUGUUUGGAA
This 91-nucleotide microRNA precursor is filed under the name Anopheles merus. RNAcentral also lists the same sequence under 2 other names. Lineage: Eukaryota; Metazoa; Arthropoda; Insecta; Diptera; Culicidae. The record is from RNAcentral.